Molecule: RNA transcript, 2074 nt
Organism: Arachis stenosperma
Lineage: Eukaryota; Viridiplantae; Streptophyta; Magnoliopsida; Fabales; Fabaceae
Exons: 16
Source: RefSeq, a predicted model, not a curated record
GGAAUCUUUUUGUUCCUCCUGAAAAGAAAGAUUAAGAAAGAAAGGGUUACCUGAAAAUCUAGUUUGGAUGUAAAUCUAGAAGCAGCGUUUUAGAAUUCAGAGGCAUUGAGAAAAAGCGCGAACGAAGAAGAAGAUAAGAGGCAUUUCAAUUUUCAACAGUUACUGUUACAGUUACAGUUACAGAAGCCAAUCAAUAAUCAUAAUCGAUGAGGAAGGAGAAAGAACCCAUGCCUUCGAGCCCCGCCAGCGGCGAAGAAAGCGACGAAAAGCAAAGCUUCUCCUCCAAAAACAAAUUCUCUUCCCGCAAUGCUUCUUCCAAGUACGAUUUCGUUAAGGUGAAGGUGUGGUUGGGUGAUAAUGCGGAUCACUACUAUGUUCUGUCCAGAUUUUUGCUCAGUAGGAUGCUAACUGUAACCAAGAUUCCGAAUCAUGUAGCUAUUAAAAUUGCGCUUGAACUGAAGAAGCUGCUCAUUGACAAUAGCCUUCUUGAUGUCUCUCAGUCCGAUUUGGAGGUCAACUUAUUCAAGCUAAUGGAGAGGCGGGGAUAUGGAGAAGAGUACAUUAAUCGUUAUAAGAUGAUGACAAGGUUUCAUCAUCAAAGAGUUCCAUUGGUAAUCCUUGUUUGUGGAACUGCUUGUGUUGGGAAGUCUACUAUCGCCACCCAGCUUGCGCAGAGGCUAAAUUUACCAAAUGUGUUGCAGACAGAUAUGGUUUACGAAUUGUUGCGCACAUCAACAGAUGCACCAUUGGCGUCAACUCCUGUAUGGACGCGAGACUUUAAUUCAUCGGAGGAGUUAAUAACUGAAUUUUGCAGAGAAUGCAGAGUUGUUCGCAAAGGUUUGGCUGGUGAUUUGAAAAAGGCAAUGAAGGAUGGAAAGCCAAUUAUAAUUGAGGGAAUUCAUUUGGACCCUAGCAUUUAUUUAGUAGACGAUGAGAAAUCACCUGCUGCUGUACAAGCUGAAAAUAAAGGGAUGAAUUCAACAUCUGCGGCACCAGACGAUAGUGCUACAGUUCAAACAGAAAAUACUAAUGAAGGUAGUCAUGAUGAGAAUCAUGGUGGUUCCAGGACUCUGAGUUCAACUGAAGGAAUAUCUAUGGACCAAGUUGAUGCAGUAUCAAAUAAUGUCGCAUCCAUUAAUCUAGCUGGAAGCACAUCUGGGCAUGAAGUUUCUCAUGCAGGUGCUGCUUCUCUCAAAGAAAUAGAGGCAGACAAAAAAAUUGUUACUAAAAAGUCAGGUCCUAAGCCAAUAAUUGUGCCUAUUGUUCUGAAGAUGGCUGAAUUUGAUCAUAAGGCAUUACUUGAGGAGUGGAUCUGCUCUCGCACGUUUACCGAGAAAUGCCCAGACAAGGAUAAAGAUAAGCUUAUAGCAAAUUUGAAAACCAUACAAGAUUACCUGUGCUCUUUCACUUCACAAGGGUUGACUGUAGUGAAUGUAUCAGCAACAACAUUUCCUCAAACAUUGGAUUGGCUCCAUAAUCACCUUCUUCAGUGCAUUGAGCAAGGUACUUCAUUAGGAUCAAAUGAACAUGUUGCGCAAGCUGGUGCAGAAUAGUUGUAAUUAUCCAAUUCUGACAGGUAUGAUAUUAAAUAUUAACUUCCUUUAAGCAUUAUAUAUAUUUUUUAUCUAUAAAUUUACAAAUGUACUUUGAAAGUCACUGGCCAACAAGUUAAUGGUUCAGGUUUAGUUAGCCAUGUGCUUUCAAUCUCACACGCUGUUGACUUCUUCAUCACAAGGUUAUUGAAGGCGAUGGUUUGCAUGUUUAACUUGAGGUUGUAAGUGGAUUCCUGAAUCUGUCCAAAUGCUAUCUUCUCAAAUGAUUGGUGGCUGCUUUUUCGCAACGUAUGAAAAUGAUAUCCCAAUCAUGAUAUCAUCAUGGCUUGGAAAGAGAAGGCAAUACAAUAGGCCUUCAUAGAAGCUGUAAUUGUUACAUCAAUGUUUAUUGUUUUCUCAACAUUUGAUGCUGAGAGCAAUUGCACAGUUAUUGUAUCAUGAUAUAUCAUGUUGAAGCAAUCUCUUAUUAUUGCAAGAAUACAAUAAAGUUCAGUAUAACCGUUCCACUGAUUGAAAAAUCU